CCUUAGAGUUUGAUCCUGGCUCAGGACCUUUCUGGCGGCGUGCCUAACACAUGCAAGUCGAACGGAGUUCUUAAGGAGUGCGACUUCGGUCAAAUGACUUUUGAACUUAGUGGCGGACGGGUGAGUAACGCGUGAGCAACCUGCCUUUCAGAGGGGGAUAACAUUUGGAAACAGAUGCUAAUACCGCAUAAGAUUACAGUACCGCAUGAUACAGUGAUCAAAGGAGCAAUCCGCUGAAAGAUGGGCUCGCGUCCGAUUAGAUAGUUGGUGAGGUAACGGCUCACCAAGUCGACGAUCGGUAGCCGGACUGAGAGGUUGAACGGCCACAUUGGGACUGAGACACGGCCCAGACUCCUACGGGAGGCAGCAGUGGGGAAUAUUGCACAAUGGACGAAAGCCUGAUGCAGCAACGCCGCGUGAGGGAAGACGGUUUUCGGAUUGUAAACCUCUGUUUUCGGUGACGAAUAAAUGACGGUAACCGAGUAGGAAGCCACGGCUAACUACGUGCCAGCAGCCGCGGUAAUACGUAGGUGGCAAGCGUUAUCCGGAAUUACUGGGUGUAAAGGGAGCGCAGGCGGGAUAGCAAGUCAGCUGUGAAAACUAUGGGCUCAACCCAUAAACUGCAGUUGAAACUGUUAUUCUUGAGUGGAGUAGAGGCAAGCGGAAUUCCGAGUGUAGCGGUGAAAUGCGUAGAUAUUCGGAGGAACACCAGUGGCGAAGGCGGCUUGCUGGGCUCUAACUGACGCUGAGGCUCGAAAGUGUGGGGAGCAAACAGGAUUAGAUACCCUGGUAGUCCACACUGUAAACGAUGAUUGCUA
RNAcentral lists this ribosomal RNA (818 nucleotides) under uncultured bacterium. RNAcentral's name for it is "bacterial SSU rRNA". It matches the Rfam family "Bacterial small subunit ribosomal RNA", at positions 1 to 818 of the family's 1533-position model. The record is from RNAcentral.